Molecule: unclassified non-coding RNA, 359 nt
Filed under: soil metagenome
Description: partial contains 5.8S ribosomal RNA, internal transcribed spacer 2, and large subunit ribosomal RNA
Rfam family: 5.8S ribosomal RNA (bases 1-121)
Source: RNAcentral
GAUGAAGAACGCAGCGAAAUGCGAUACGUAGUGUGAAUUGCAGAAUUUCCGUGAGUCAUCGAAUCUUUGAACGCACAUUGCGCCCACUGGUAUUCCGGCGGGCAUGCCUGUUCGAGCGUCAUUACGCCCCUCAAGUCCCCUGUGGACUUGGUGUUGGGGAUCGGCGAGGCUGGUUUUCCAGCACAGCCGUCCCUUAAAUUAAUUGGCGGUCUCGCCGUGGCCCUCCUCUGCGCAGUAGUAAAACACUCGCAACAGGAGCCCGGCGCGGUCCACUGCCGUAAAACCCCCCAACUUUUUAUAGUUGACCUCGAAUCAGGUAGGACUACCCGCUGAACUUAAGCAUAUCAAUAAGCGGAGGA